RNAcentral lists this long non-coding RNA (1102 nucleotides) under Monodelphis domestica (gray short-tailed opossum). Its description in RNAcentral is "lncRNA (ENSMODG00000042423.1)". Lineage: Eukaryota; Metazoa; Chordata; Mammalia; Didelphimorphia; Didelphidae. The record is from RNAcentral.
CUAGACUUCAAGAAGGUCCUUGGGCAGAGGUUUUGGUUCUAGAACCUUAUCACAGUUAUGGCACUUGUUAUAAAAGACUCUUAUAGGAUCUGUUAACUAAGAAACAAAUACAGAACUUCCAAGUAUUUAGAAAACCCAUUCUUUAAUCAGUAAAAAAGGGUAGGCUUAUCAUUUGGUCAUUACACAGAGUCAAAAUUUAAAUACCAUUCAAAACCAAAGACUCUGGGAACCACAUCUCUGGGAGAAGGUGUCACACUAUAUUAUUUUUUUUUCUUUCUCUCUCCCUUCCCCCCCAAAACCACAGAGGAAAGGAAAUUGGGGGUUCUUAUAUCCUCUGGAUAAUUAGGUAUUACAAACAGGUGCAUAAACCAUCUAUGAAGUCAAUAGCAAUGGCAUUAGGGAACAGUCAGCUGUAACAAAUCAAAUGCAAAGGUCAGACUCAGGAGCUGGGCUUUCUGAGAGGAAACUUUUACCCAAUAGAGAAGCCUUUCAAAACAAACAGGUAUUUAACUUUCAAACAAAAUAGGUGUGCUUAGUACUAGGGUUUCUCAAAGUGCAGAAGUAUACUGAGUCAUGUAAUUAUUUACAUUGACAAAUCAAAUUUAUAUUGGGAACUGUAAAGAUAUAGUCCUUAACUUCCUUCUGGUGGGGAGCCUUUUUGAAAUAACAAGGAUUCAGUGGAGAGGUCAUGAAUAUAACUAAGCAUACUCCUCAAGACAUUAAAGCUUCAAGGAAACUGUCGUGGACCUACCUAUAUCUAGAAGUUCUUGUUGGAGUUGAAAGGACAAAUGAAAAUACCCUAGGAUGUACCUUAUCUGGAGUCAAAUGAUUUGAACUUAUCAAGAACAAGACGAUAUUGUCAGAGCAUCUCAUUUAUCUAGGAUUUCAACUACAUGUUAACUCUUUUAGGUAUGAUGAGGGAGAGAUACAAAGAAAUGAUCCCAUUAGAGAUACCUCCCCUUAGGGAACACUGACAAUACAGUUGUGUUCUUCUGAUAUGUUUUGGAAGCUCACCUGGGCCUUAUCUUCACUCUGAGAACAACCCAAAUCAUUAAUAAGGUGCAAAGGUCCACCAACCUAAUAAAAUCUACCAGCCUUGGCA